This 301-nucleotide small nuclear RNA is filed under the name Chinchilla lanigera (long-tailed chinchilla). RNAcentral describes it as "7SK RNA (ENSCLAG00000021548.1)". It matches the Rfam family "7SK RNA". From Rfam's summary of the family: 7SK was discovered as an abundant small nuclear RNA in the mid-70s but a possible function has only recently been suggested. Two independent studies have found that 7SK RNA binds the CDK9/cyclin T complex (known as elongation factor P-TEFb). P-TEFb activates transcription by phosphorylating the C-terminal domain of RNA polymerase II. Lineage: Eukaryota; Metazoa; Chordata; Mammalia; Rodentia; Chinchillidae. The record is from RNAcentral.
GGAUGUCAGGGGCAUCUGGCUGUGACAUCUGUCACCCCAUUGACUUCCAGGGUUUAUUUGGCUGAUCUGGCUGGCUAGGCAGGUGUGCCCUUCCUCCCUUAAUGCUCCAUGUGCGUCCCUCCCGAAGCUGUGUGCUGGGUGGAAGAGGAUGACCACCCCCGAUAGAGGAGAACCAUUCCUCGGUCAAGGGUAUACAAGUAGGGCACUCUCCUGCUAGACCUCCAAACAAGCUCCCAAGUGCUGGGUUUACAGGUAUGCCCCACAGGCCCAGCUUUGGGAGGACAUUUUUGAUCCAAAUCAU